This 201-nucleotide ribosomal RNA is filed under the name uncultured bacterium. RNAcentral's name for it is "partial 16S ribosomal RNA". It matches the Rfam family "Bacterial small subunit ribosomal RNA", at positions 1300 to 1500 of the family's 1533-position model. The record is from RNAcentral.
GUAGUCUGCAACCCGACUACAUGAAGCUGGAAUCGCUAGUAAUCGCGGAUCAGAAUGCCGCGGUGAAUACGUUCCCGGGUCUUGUACACACCGCCCGUCACACCAUGGGAGUCGGAAAUGCCCGAAGUCUGUGACCCAACCGUAAGGAGGGAGCAGCCGAAGGCAGGUCGGAUGACUGGGGUGAAGUCGUAACAAGGUAAC